This is a long non-coding RNA of Dama dama (fallow deer), 1628 nucleotides long. RefSeq lists it as uncharacterized. The transcript is spliced from 4 exons. The record is from RefSeq and is a predicted model, not a curated record. Lineage: Eukaryota; Metazoa; Chordata; Mammalia; Artiodactyla; Cervidae.
GUAGGGGUAAGAAGAGACCAGGGCCACGGACCCCGCUCCGACUCCGCGCGGCCGGUCGCUUACAUGCCCAGGUCGCUGUAGGUGUUGAAGAACUCCAUCUGGUUGCACGCCUGGAUCCAGCCCACCACCCAGGAAGAAGAUUCCUCACACCCAGCAGAACCAUCCUUCUGUCAGAUAGAGAAGGCUUUCUGCCUCCAGGGUUCUGCCAAACCGUCCACAAGAGCAGUCAAUCGGUCAUUUCCUCCCAAGCAUGGCUUUCAAUAAACUAAAAAAACAAAACAAACACAGGAAAACACAAAAAGCAACAAACUGAUGCUGUUGUCUCCUAGAUUAUAUCAGUAUUACCAUGGGAGUGCUGCAGGUAUGGAAGUCAGAAACUGGAAGAAAUUAUUUGAGGAGAUUUAAUAUCUAUGGCUUUUCCAGUGGUCAUGUAUGGAUGUGAGAGUUGCACUGUGAAGAAAGCUGAGUGCCAAAAAAUUGAUGCUUUUGAACUGUGGUGUUGGAGAAGACUCUUGAGAGUCCCUUGGACUGCAAGGAGAUCCAACCAGUCCAUCCUGAAGGAGAUCAGUCCUGGGUGUUCAUUGGAAGGACUGAUGCUGAAGCUGAAGCUCUAAUACUUUGGCCACCUGAUGUGAAGAGUUGACUCAUUGGAAAAGACCCUGAUGCUGGGAGGGAUUGGGGGCAGGAGGAGAAGGGGACGACAGAGGAUGAGAUGGCUGGAUGGCAUCACCGACUCGAUGGACAUGAAUUUGAGUAAACUCCGGGAGUUGGUGAUGGACAGGGAGGCCUGGCAUGCUGUGAUUCAUGGGGUUGCAAAGAGCUGGACAUGACUGAGCGACUGAACUGAACUGAACUGAACAUCUAGGACACACUUGUUCUGUGCUCUGGUCUCCACCCAGUGAACCUUGGAUAUUGGGGUUGGUUGAUUGUAGUAAUGUCUGAAUUUUUUCCCACCACCUGUAUCCAGGCCUUUGAUAGUGCCCCCCUGCACUGACUUUUGGCACAGUCAUGUGUCUUGAUUUGGCCAAGGGAGCAGCCUGAAAAGUGCCUGUAUGUUGGGGCUGGUCCUCUUGCUGGUCUUGCAACUACUGCUGCUGCCACCAAAUGAUCAAGCACAAGCUUGCUUCCUGGAGGAGAUACCACAUGAUCAGAGAUAAGCCAUCCCACUCAAGCCAUCAUAGACUAGCCAGUUGCCAGUCAACUCUACAGCUGAUCACAGAUGUAUGAGUGCCCAGCUGAUAUUAGCAGAGUCUGGUACCAAGCUGCAAGAACCACUCAGGCACAAGAGGCCUACAUUGCAACUUCUCAAAUUGUAAGCCAAAGGAUUAACCUAGUAGGAACAAAAGAACAGAAAUCAACAAAUUUUCAGAACUAGAAAGCAAAUGGAGGACCGCUCACUGACCAAGCAGGGUGAAUAACACUCAAGUGCCUAUAAAGAGGGAGUCUGAUGAAAAGGAGACCCACCCACCUAACAGAUACUCCAGAGAGACUCAAUACGGCAAAGGGAAAAUUCUUCGCUGGACACAAGACCUCGACAUACUGACCUUUGGAAGUUCCUAGUAAAAAGCCUGCCUCACUCCUUGUUUAGCCUACUCAACAGCUGACAAUCACCUCUAUCCCUAAAUUAA